This 1200-nucleotide ribosomal RNA is filed under the name metagenome. RNAcentral describes it as "bacterial SSU rRNA". It matches the Rfam family "Bacterial small subunit ribosomal RNA", at positions 307 to 1498 of the family's 1533-position model. The record is from RNAcentral.
CCCACACUGGGACUGAGACACGGCCCAGACUCCUACGGGAGGCAGCAGCUAAGAAUCUUCCGCAAUGGGGGAAACCCUGACGGAGCGACGCCGCGUGAACGAAGAAGGCCGGAAGGUUGUAAAGUUCUUUUCUUAGUGAAGAAUAAUAUAGCGAGGAAAUGCGUUAUAGAUGACGUUAGCUAAGGAAUAAGCCCCGGCUAAUUACGUGCCAGCAGCCGCGGUAACACGUAAGGGGCGAGCGUUGUUCGGAAUUAUUGGGCGUAAAGGGCGCGUAGGCGGCUUGGCAAGCUUGGUGUUAAAAACAACGGCUUAACCGUUGGUAAGCAUUGGGAACUGCCUGGCUAGAGGUCUGGAGGGGGAGCUGGAAUUCCUGGUGUAGGGGUGAAAUCUGUAGAUAUCAGGAAGAACACCGGCGGCGAAGGCGAGCUCCUGGCCGGAAACUGACGCUGAGGCGCGAAAGCGUGGGGAGCGAACAGGAUUAGAUACCCUGGUAGUCCACGCUGUAAACGAUGUGCACUAGGUGUCUGUCUGUAGAGGAUGGGUGCCGUAGCAAACGCGAUAAGUGCACCGCCUGGGGAGUAUGCUCGCAAGGGUGAAACUCAAAGGAAUUGACGGGGGCCCGCACAAGCGGUGGAGCAUGUGGUUUAAUUCGAUGAUACGCGAGGAACCUUACCAGGGCUUGACAUAUACAGUGAAGCGUGUGAGAGCAGGCUGCCACUUUUGUGGACUGUAUACAGGUGCUGCAUGGUUGUCGUCAGCUCGUGCUGUGAAGUGUUGGGUUAAGUCCCGCAACGAGCGCAACCCCUGCUGUCUGUUGCUACCAGGUAAUGCUGAGGACUCAGGCGGUACUGCCGGUGACAAACCGGAGGAAGGUGGGGACGACGUCAAAUCAUCAUGGCCCUUAUGUCCUGGGCUACACACGUGCUACAAUGGCAAGUACAGAGUGACGCGAGACCGCGAGGUGGAGCAAAUCACAUAAAGCUUGUCUCAGUACGGAUUGGAGUCUGAAACUCGACUUCAUGAAGGUGGAAUCGCUAGUAAUCGCGCAUCAGCAUGGCGCGGUGAAUACGUUCCCGGGCCCUGUACACACCGCCCGUCACACCACCCGAGUUGGGGGUACCCGAAGUCGCUUGUCUAACUGUUUACGGAGGACGGCGCCGAAGGUAUGCCUGGUAAGGGGGGUGAAGUCGUAACAAGGUA